UACGGAGGGUGCAAGCGUUAUCCGGAUUCACUGGGUUUAAAGGGUGCGUAGGCGGGCAGUUAAGUCAGUGGUGAAAUCCUUGAGCUCAACUCGAGAACUGCCAUUGAUACUAUCUGUCUUGAAUAUUGUGGAGGUAAGCGGAAUAUGUCAUGUAGCGGUGAAAUGCUUAGAUAUGACAUAGAACACCUAUUGCGAAGGCAGCUUACUGCGCAUAUAUUGACGCUGAGGCACGAAAGCGUGGGGAUCAAACAGG
RNAcentral lists this ribosomal RNA (253 nucleotides) under uncultured bacterium. Its description in RNAcentral is "partial 16S ribosomal RNA". It matches the Rfam family "Bacterial small subunit ribosomal RNA", at positions 524 to 776 of the family's 1533-position model. The record is from RNAcentral.